ACUCCUACGGGAGGCAGCAGUGGGGAAUAUUGGACAAUGGGCGAAAGCCUGAUCCAGUCAUGCCGCGUGUGUGAAGAAGGUCUUCGGAUUGUAAAGCACUUUAAGUUGGGAGGAAGGGCAGUAAGCUAAUACCUUGCUGUUUUGACGUUACCGACAGAAUAAGCACCGGCUAACUCUGUGCCAGCAGCCGCGGUAAUACAGAGGGUGCAAGCGUUAAUCGGAAUUACUGGGCGUAAAGCGCGCGUAGGUGGUUUGUUAAGUUGGAUGUGAAAGCCCCCGGGCUCAACCUGGGAACUGCAUCCAAAACUGGCAAGCUAGAGUACGGUAGAGGUGUGGAAUUUCCUGUGUAGCGGUGAAAUGCGUAGAUAUAGGAAGGAACACCAGUGGCGAAGGCGACCACCUGGACUGAUACUGACACUGAGGUGCGAAAGCGUGGGAGCAAACAGGAUUAGAUACCCCUGGUAGGAUAGCG
RNAcentral lists this ribosomal RNA (472 nucleotides) under uncultured bacterium. RNAcentral describes it as "bacterial SSU rRNA". It matches the Rfam family "Bacterial small subunit ribosomal RNA", at positions 335 to 799 of the family's 1533-position model. The record is from RNAcentral.